RNAcentral lists this ribosomal RNA (482 nucleotides) under uncultured bacterium. RNAcentral's name for it is "partial 16S ribosomal RNA". It matches the Rfam family "Bacterial small subunit ribosomal RNA", at positions 30 to 507 of the family's 1533-position model. The record is from RNAcentral.
AUUGAACGCCGGCGGCAUGCUUUACACAUGCAAGUCGAACGGUAACAGGCCGCAAGGUGCUGACGAGUGGCGAACGGGUGAGUAAUGCAUCGGAACGUACCCAGUCGUGGGGGAUAACUACUCGAAAGAGUAGCUAAUACCGCAUACGAUCUAUGGAUGAAAGCGGGGGACCGUAAGGCCUCGCGCGAUUGGAGCGGCCGAUGUCAGAUUAGGUAGUUGGUGGGGUAAAGGCUCACCAAGCCAACGAUCUGUAGCUGGUCUGAGAGGACGACCAGCCACACUGGGACUGAGACACGGCCCAGACUCCUACGGGAGGCAGCAGUGGGGAAUUUUGGACAAUGGGCGCAAGCCUGAUCCAGCAAUGCCGCGUGCAGGAAGAAGGCCUUCGGGUUGUAAACUGCUUUUGUACGGAACGAAACGGCUCUGGUUAAUACCCGGGGCUAAUGACGGUACCGUAAGAAUAAGCACCGGCUAACUACGUG